This 303-nucleotide long non-coding RNA is filed under the name Carica papaya (papaya). RNAcentral describes it as "long non-coding RNA (CPAP_LNC004294)". Lineage: Eukaryota; Viridiplantae; Streptophyta; Magnoliopsida; Brassicales; Caricaceae. The record is from RNAcentral.
CAGCUUAAUAACUUGUCAAUAGAAAUCGAAAUCAGAAUGAGAAUAUUAAUGCAAGCAAUAGGAACUAGUACAUAAGCACAAGCAAUCGGAUCUCCUCAGGUCAAGUCAGCACACCCGCUGUAAAGCCAUCUUGAAUAGGAAAGAAAGAAUGAAAUAAUAUGAGUCAAUCUUGUCUUUGCUGUAGCUUUUUCAUACCCUGGCUUUUUCACUAGACAAAGAUGGAUGCAUUUUCUUUCUAUCGAAAAAGAAAGCUAUUGUUUUUUAUGCUAUACAACCAACAACAAUUUCAUUGCCUCGUAUUCC